Molecule: long non-coding RNA, 1918 nt
Filed under: Equus asinus (donkey)
Lineage: Eukaryota; Metazoa; Chordata; Mammalia; Perissodactyla; Equidae
Description: lncRNA (ENSEASG00005037178.1)
Source: RNAcentral
UGCCUCUGUGCCCUGGCUGAAUGCUCCCCCUCUACCAUAUUUCUUUGAACUCGGGGUCGUGGGACUGAGCCUGUAGGGGCCAGCACACCCUCCUGCUGGGGCUUCUCCGGAGUGUGUCAUCCUCCCUGUCCCCAGAUCAGGUGUCUCUGGCACAGGGCUAGCACCAGGCUCCAGUGCUGAGCAUGCCAGGCUGUGUAUGUCCCCACCUUGCUUCCCACCUUGCACUUUGGAAGCUGAAGGUGCUUUCUUCAGAACCCUAAAAAGGCUGUUGAAGGUGCCCCCGGCAGCAGCCCAGCAAUGGUUGGUGAGAGGCGGAGGGCAGUGGUUCUCCCAAAUAGGAGUCCUGGGGCCUGGCCAGGGUUUGGGCCUAAUGGCUUCUACUAAAUUACCCCUAUCCCCCUCCUUUCAGCACCACUCGCUAUCAUUCUGCUCUGACCUUGAAGGGGGCGGUGUUGGCCUGCCUUCUGGAAUGGACAGAGUCGCUGUGGAAAGGGCUGGGGGCAGGCGGAGGUGGGGAGGGGCGCUGCCUGCGGAAGGUAGGAUUAGAUCAUUAGCUCAGUGACCUCCUAGGGUUUCGAUGUGCUGUGUUCUCAUCCUACAGCUGGUUUGGUAAUGAUCUGCAAGUCCCGGAGAGCAACAGCACAGCUCUGCCUGACGCUCUCAUUAAAAUCUAUGCAGCCAAGCUCGGCGCUUUGUAGCAGCCGGCCUUGCGAAGCCUUCUCAGCUUGGGGGGCUGGGGACCCAGUCAGCCAAGGGGCCCUCUGGGCUCUACUUAUGCAUAUGUGCACCAAAAAAAAAAUGCUUCUUUAAAUCCAGAGCCCUUUAAGAUGAUAAAGGACCCUAUGCAGGUAAUUGUGUGUCUUUGAAAUCGUGUAAUUGUAGAAUGCAGAGUUUAGUGAUUAUUUAAACUGAGCCGAGGCUGGUAAGAGUAUGGAACUAUGACCCAUAAGGACUCUUAAGCGCUGAAGCCAAGGAGCCACCUCCCUUCCCUGGUCUGCCUAACCCUGGGGCCCUGCCCCCAUUCCUGUGGCCCAGGGGCCCAGCUUCCAGUCGGCAGUGUCAGAAGUGACUGUGGCUUUGCCGUGGUUGUGAGAUGACUACAUUCCAAAGGAGCAGCCGCGAGGAGGGGGCAGGCUCAGCGAUCCCUUGGAGGUUCAGAGCAGCUGGCCCAAGCUCCAGCUCGCCUCCAGCGGAAGCUCAAGCGCCCUCAGAAACGACCCUGGCCAAUGUCACCGCAGAGCCGAGGCGGCGUUGUCAGGGCUAAUGUGAAACCUCUUUCCAUGGCGCCGAUCCUCCGGCUCUGCAGCGCCAGCUUGGACGGAUUGAGGUCUCUGUGGCUUUGGUGACCCUGCUUAAGCAUUCCCACCGUGUCCCAGCUCUGCUUCCUGGGGGCAUCUGGCUUUGAGUUCUGCUGGGGUCCAGCUGACCUGGGACCAGGUGCCGCCCAGAGAUGUGCCUCAUUCUGUGCCUCAGUGAGGGCUAGGGAACAAUUUCGUUAUUGUAUUACCUUUACUCAGUUAACUCACUUGAGAAACUAACCAGUUUUACUUUCUGUCUCGAAUGAUGUACAUGUAGGAGGGCGAGCUGUAAUGUUCCCAAAGUGCCUUGUUUUCUCUGAUAUAAAUAUAUUUAUAAGGACCUAUUCCAGUGGAUUCUUGGGUGUGUUUGCCUCAUCAAGAUUUUAGAGAGUGGGUAUAUAUGCAUUGGGAAUACAGUCUGAAAAUGGGCCCCUUUCCUCUGAGAAUAGGAAAGGACCUCUAGUAGGAAAUUUGAGCAGUGGGGUUAAGCCAAACCCCUAAAGUGACCCUUUCCUCUUUACCCUACUCCUCUUCAGGUCCUUAGAAGGAUGUCCAGUUUUUUUUUAAAGCCCUGUGGCUCCAAGCCUGGUCUCAUUUGCUUCCCUGCCAGGCUCAUGUGA